RNAcentral lists this ribosomal RNA (1168 nucleotides) under uncultured fungus. Its description in RNAcentral is "eukaryotic LSU rRNA". The stretch from base 579 to 1168 matches the Rfam family "Eukaryotic large subunit ribosomal RNA", at positions 1 to 649 of the family's 3401-position model. The record is from RNAcentral. Lineage: Eukaryota; Fungi.
AAGUCGUAACAAGGUUUCCGUAGGUGAACCUGCGGAAGGAUCAUUAUGAAGUGUGAUUGUUGGCCGUCAGGCCGGCAAUGACUUUUAUCUGUGCAACACUUUUGUUUGGUCGUGCGUGGGUUGAUGUCGGUGUGUUGCGAGUCUGCGUAAGCGGGUCGAGCGGCAUACUCAUCGGUCGACCCGACCAAUAUUUACACCAAAUACAGUCUGACUACAAACAAACAAAUAAAAACUUUCAACAAUGGAUCUCUUGGCUCUGGCAUCGAUGAAGAACGCAGCGAAAUGCGAUAAGUAAUGUGAAUUGCAGAAUUCAGUGAAUCAUCGAAUCUUUGAACGCACAUUGUGCCUCUUGGUAUUCCGGGAGGCAUGCCUGUCUGAGUGUUUUUAUCUCUCUACUGUUUAUUGUUUUACGAUUUACGGUGUGUGGCCAAAGUGGUUGUUGAUCUAUCGACGUCACCUAGCCCAAGUGCAACGGUGCAAGUAAACUGCAACAAUGUUUAGAUAAUGAUCAUUGAAGCAUCUGUACAAACACCCUAAGCCGUCCCUCUAGCGUCAAACCUGGAACGGACAUAUCAACAUAACCUCAGAUCAGGUAGGACUACGCGCUGAACUUAAGCAUAUCAAUAAGCGCAGGAAAAGAAACUAACUAGGAUGCCUUCAGUAGCGGCGAGCGAAGCAGGCAGAGCUCAAAUUUGUAAUCUGGCGGCAUCUCUGUCGUCCGAGUUGUAAUUUCAAAGGUCGGGUUGGUUGUUGCAGGUGACAAGUCUGUUGGAACGCAGCACUGUGAAGGGUGAUAGUCCCGUCCAAUCUCCGUACGCAGCAGCAUAUCUCCCUUCCUGAAGAGUCGAGUUGUUUGGGAAUGCAGCUCUAAAUUGGAGGUAAAUUUCUUCUAAAGCUAAAUAUUGGCCAGAGACCGAUAGCGAACAAGCAGUGUGAACGAAAGAUGAAAAGGACUUUGAAAAGAGAGUUAAAAGUAUGUGAAAUUGUUGAAAGGGAAGCGGUUAUCUGUGAAGGUUUUGUGCGCUUGCGUAUGAUGCCCUCAGCAUCAGUUUGGGUUGUGGUAGAAUGACAUUGGAACGUGGCUUCAUUCGUGAAGUGUUAUAGCCUGUGUUGAUGUCACACCCCGGACUGAGGACUUUUGAAGAUGCUGAGUAGUGGCCAACCGACC